UUUGAAAUCUGGCGUCUUCGACGUCCGAGUUGUAAUUUGAAGAAGGCGACUUUGUAGCUGGUCCUUGUCUAUGUUCCUUGGAACAGGACGUCAUAGAGGGUGAGAAUCCCGUGUGGCGAGGAUCCCAGUUAUUUGUAAAGUGCUUUCGACGAGUCGAGUUGUUUGGGAAUGCAGCUCUAAGUGGGUGGUAAAUUCCAUCUAAAGCUAAAUAUUGGCGAGAGACCGAUAGCGAACAAGUACAGUGAUGGAAAGAUGAAAAGAACUUUGAAAAGAGAGUGAAAAAGUACGUGAAAUUGUUGAAAGGGAAGGGCAUUUGAUCAGACAUGGCGUUUGCUUCGGCUUUCGCUGGGCCAGCAUCAGUUUUAGCGGUUGGAUAAAUCCUCGGGAAUGUGGCUCUGCUUCGGUAGAGUGUUAUAGCCCGUGGGAAUACAGCCAGCUGGGACUGAGGAUUGCGACUUUUGUCAAGGAUGCUGGCGUAAUGGUUAAAU
RNAcentral lists this ribosomal RNA (488 nucleotides) under Kluyveromyces marxianus. RNAcentral's name for it is "eukaryotic LSU rRNA". It matches the Rfam family "Eukaryotic large subunit ribosomal RNA", at positions 114 to 639 of the family's 3401-position model. The record is from RNAcentral. Lineage: Eukaryota; Fungi; Ascomycota; Saccharomycetes; Saccharomycetales; Saccharomycetaceae.